Long non-coding RNA from Gadus macrocephalus (Pacific cod), 515 nucleotides. RefSeq lists it as uncharacterized. The transcript has 2 exons. Lineage: Eukaryota; Metazoa; Chordata; Actinopteri; Gadiformes; Gadidae. The record is from RefSeq and is a predicted model, not a curated record.
AUGCCCUGUUUACACCUACCCGAUAGUGGGCCCCGAUGGUGCCCGAUGGCUAAAUCAGCAGCUAUCGUUAUAACAUCGGCAAAUAGCUCAGAUGUCCGAUAUUAUCGGCCCACCGAUAUUAUCGGCCCGAUAUUAGCAUAAAAAUGUAAUAUCGGUCAAUAUCGGUAUCGGAUUUUUUUUGCCUUAAAACCGAUCAAAUAUAUAUAUAUAUAUAUAUAUUUUUUUUUUUUUUAAUUUAUAGCUCAAAUAAAUGUUUUCAAAAUUGUGCAGUACAGUGCACAUUGUAAUUGACUCAUAUUUGUGCAUUUAUUCAAUUAAGGUUAUUGAGUUUUAGUUAAAGAAACAUACUGCUAUGUUGCACAUAGUUGUUCAGGUACAAUGUUUUAUCAUUUGUGAAGUCAAGUUUGCCCUAUUUGUUGUGGGCAUUGUCAAGAUUAUCUCAGGGAGAGUGUAAUCCAAACUGUUGUCUGAGACCAUUAAAAAAAUAAAAAUAAACAUGGCACUUUUCCCUUAAA